Molecule: ribosomal RNA, 433 nt
Filed under: uncultured bacterium
Lineage: Bacteria
Description: partial 16S ribosomal RNA
Rfam family: Bacterial small subunit ribosomal RNA
Source: RNAcentral
AACGAACGCUGGCGGCAUGCCUAACACAUGCAAGUCGAACGAGCCCUCCGGGUCUAGUGGCGCACGGGUGUGUAACGCGUGGGAACCUGCACUUAGGUUUGGACUAACUCCCCGAAAGGGGUGCUAAUACCGGAUCAUGUCUUCGGACCAAAGAUUUAUUGCCUGUGGAUGGGCGAUCGUUGAAUUAGAUUGUUGGUAGGGUAAAAGCUUACCAAGGCGACGAUCCAUAGCUGGUCUGAGAGAAUGAUCAGCCACACUGGGAGUGGGACACGGCCGGGACUCCUACGCGAUGGAGCAGUGGCGAAUAGUGGAAAGUGGGGGAAAGCCUGAUCCAGCUAUGCCGCGAAAGUGAUGAAAGCCGGAGGGAUGAAAAGCGCUAUUACCCAGGAUGAUAAUGACGGUACCGGGAGAAUAAGCUCCGGCUAACUCCGUG